RNAcentral lists this small nuclear RNA (186 nucleotides) under Salvator merianae (Argentine black and white tegu). RNAcentral describes it as "U2 spliceosomal RNA (ENSSMRG00000016284.1)". The stretch from base 1 to 157 matches the Rfam family "U2 spliceosomal RNA". From Rfam's summary of the family: U2 is a small nuclear RNA (snRNA) component of the spliceosome (involved in pre-mRNA splicing). Complementary binding between U2 snRNA (in an area lying towards the 5' end but 3' to hairpin I) and the branchpoint sequence (BPS) of the intron results the bulging out of an unpaired adenosine, on the BPS, which initiates a nucleophilic attack at the intronic 5' splice site, thus starting the first of two transesterification reactions that mediate splicing. Lineage: Eukaryota; Metazoa; Chordata; Lepidosauria; Squamata; Teiidae. The record is from RNAcentral.
UAUGCUUCUUAGCUUUCUGGCUAACAUCAAGUGUAGUAUCUGUUUUUAUCAGUUUAAUAUCUGAUAUGUCCUCUUGUUUGAGGACACUAUAUUAAAUAGAUCUUUGGAGCUGAUAGAUGGAAUAAGGGCUUGCUCCGUAAAAUACUUUUUAAUAAUUUGUUUAAAAAAUUAUGUAGAUGGUUAUAG